UCCAGGUUCAUUUGUGAUUAUCAUUAUCACUGCGGAGGCUUUAGUUUUACUCCUGAUAGCAGUUCCACUGAUUAUAGUGGCUGUGCGGAUGAGAAAGAAGAAUAAAGGUCUGCUGUCGUCCGCCACUGUUGUGUUUAAUCCAGUGAUUUAUGAUCAGAUCAAAGACACUGGACACUUCUGUAACCCAGAGGACAGAGACACAGAAACAACUGUAUUUUACAGCUGUGUUCCAUAAACUAUAACGUCAUAUGAGACUCGAGCACUCCUUCAUAAACACAGAGGAGUUCAUUACACCAAACCUCAGGCUGGAUACACACUUGAAGAUUUUAAACCCGGUUUGGACCCCAAGUGAUCGGGGGUCGCGGCCAGAUUCAAUGCUUGUU
Long non-coding RNA from Rhinichthys klamathensis goyatoka, 383 nucleotides. RefSeq lists it as uncharacterized. NCBI's taxonomy places the organism in Eukaryota, Metazoa, Chordata, Actinopteri, Cypriniformes, Leuciscidae. The transcript is spliced from 3 exons. The record is from RefSeq and is a predicted model, not a curated record.